This 253-nucleotide ribosomal RNA is filed under the name uncultured bacterium. RNAcentral's name for it is "partial 16S ribosomal RNA". It matches the Rfam family "Bacterial small subunit ribosomal RNA", at positions 524 to 776 of the family's 1533-position model. The record is from RNAcentral.
UACGAAGGUCCCAAGCGUUAUCCGGAUUUAUUGGGUUUAAAGGGUGCGUAGGCGGGUUAUUAAGUCAGUGGUGAAAGCUCCAUGCCUAACAUGGAAAUGGCCAUUGAUACUGAUGAUCUUGAGUACAUUUGAAGUGGGCGGAAUGUGUCAUGUAGCGGUGAAAUGCUUAGAUAUGACACAGAACACCGAUUGCGUAGGCAGCUCACUAAACUGUAACUGACGCUGAGGCACGAAAGCGUGGGGAGCAAACAGG